This is a long non-coding RNA of Chelonia mydas (Green sea turtle), 294 nucleotides long. RefSeq lists it as uncharacterized. NCBI's taxonomy places the organism in Eukaryota, Metazoa, Chordata, Testudines, Cheloniidae. The transcript has 3 exons. The record is from RefSeq and is a predicted model, not a curated record.
CCUGAGCAACGACUCCACAGCUCCCAUUGGCCGGGAACUGUGGCCAAUGGGAGCUGCGGGGGUGGUGCCUGCAGUGAGUGGUGACCAGAGACCCCCUGGCCCUGCCUAGGAGCUGCUGCCAGAGGGAUGUGCCAGUUGCUUUCGGGACCUGCCAAAGGGUGCCUGGAGCCUGAUUGUCACAGAGCCACCUGAAGAAGAAACUGGCUACGGUCCUACAAUGCAAUUCCAAGGAGGAGAGCUGGGGACUCCUGUUUUGAUAGAGUGACAUUUGAAGGGGUAUAAAUCCCGAGGGAG